GCGGGCUCGAGGCCGACGCGACAAGCCUUCGUUGCCGCCGCCGCCGCCGCCACCGCCGCCACCGCUGUGAGAGGAGUCGCCGCGGCCGUCCCUGCCGCCCUCGCCGGCCACCAUGUCCGCCCAGGCGCAGAUGCGGGCCCUGUUGGACCAGCUCAUGGGCACGGCCCGGGACGGUUCAGUGUAUCUUUGCCUGCCUACAUCAAUCUGCAAGGGAGUUGCAGAAAAGCCUCAUGUUCAUCGAGCCGAGACGAAACCAGACAGAGGGUCAAGUUUACAGAUGACCGUGUCUGCAAGAGUCACCUUCUGGACUGCUGCCCUCAUGAUAUCCUGGCU
Leptonychotes weddellii (Weddell seal) is the source of this 333-nucleotide non-coding RNA. Lineage: Eukaryota; Metazoa; Chordata; Mammalia; Carnivora; Phocidae. The record is from RefSeq and is a predicted model, not a curated record.